Molecule: ribosomal RNA, 491 nt
Filed under: uncultured Lachnospiraceae bacterium
Lineage: Bacteria; Bacillati; Bacillota; Clostridia; Lachnospirales; Lachnospiraceae
Description: partial 16S ribosomal RNA
Source: RNAcentral
CACGUAGUUAGCCGGGGCUUCUUAGUCAGGUACCGUCAUUUUCUUCCCUGCUGAUAGAGCUUUACAUACCGAGAUACUUCUUCACUCACGCGGCGUCGCUGCAUCAGGGUUUCCCCCAUUGUGCAAUAUUCCCCACUGCUACCUCCCGUAGGAGUUUGGGCCGUGUCUCAGUCCCAAUGUGGCCGUCCACCCUCUCAGGCCGGCUACCGAUCGUCGCUUUGGUGGGCCGUUACCCCGCCAACUGGCUAAUCGGACGCGGAUCCAUCGUAUGCCGAUAAAUCUUUUCACACAGUACCAUGCGGUAUUGUGCGCUUAUGCGGUAUUAGCAGCUGUUUCCAACUGUUAUCCCCCUGCAUACGGCAGGUUAUCCACGCGUUACUCACCCGUCCGCCACUAACUCGGAAAUCACUAGGUUUCAAUCCGAGUCCGUUCGACUUGCAUGUGUUAGGCACGCCGCCAGCGUUCAUCCUGACGCCAGGAUCGAAACUCUA